GACGAACGCUGGCGGCGUGCUUAACACAUGCAAGUCGAGCGGUAAGGCCCUUUCGGGGGUACACGAGCGGCGAACGGGUGAGUAACACGUGGGUGACCUGCCCUCAGCUCUGGGAUAAGCCUGGGAAACUGGGUCUAAUACCGGAUAUGACUCCAUGACGCAUGUUGUGGGGUGGAAAGCCUUGUGCGGCUGAGGAUGGGCCCGCGGCCUAUCAGCUUGUUGGUGGGGNGAUGGCCUACCAAGGCGACGACGGUAGCCGGCCUGAGAGGGCGACCGGCCACACUGGGACUGAGACACGGCCCAGACUCCUACGGGAGGCAGCAGUGGGGAAUCUUGCGCAAUGGGCGAAAGCCUGACGCAGCGACGCCGCGUGA
RNAcentral lists this ribosomal RNA (374 nucleotides) under uncultured bacterium. RNAcentral's name for it is "bacterial SSU rRNA". It matches the Rfam family "Bacterial small subunit ribosomal RNA", at positions 28 to 404 of the family's 1533-position model. The record is from RNAcentral.